RNAcentral lists this ribosomal RNA (329 nucleotides) under uncultured eukaryote. Its description in RNAcentral is "partial 18S ribosomal RNA". It matches the Rfam family "Eukaryotic small subunit ribosomal RNA", at positions 1470 to 1796 of the family's 1831-position model. The record is from RNAcentral.
CCCUUAGAUGUCCUGGGCCGCACGCGCGCUACACUGAGUGUCUGAGAUACGAGUCUGCCUGGUCCGGCAAGGUCUAGGUAAUCGCUAAAAGACACAUCAUGCUUGGGAUAGAUUAUUGCAAAUAUUAAUCUUGAACGAGGAAUUCCUAGUAAGCGCAAGUCAACAGCUUGCGUUGAUUACGUCCCUGCCCUUUGUACACACCGCCCGUCGCUACUACUGAUUGGAUGGUCCGGUGAAGCCUCGGGAUUGUGGUUCUUGCCGCUUUAUUGUAGCGUGACCGCGAGAACUUGUCUAAACCUUAUCAUCUAGAGGAAGGUGAAGUCGUAACA